Molecule: long non-coding RNA, 1113 nt
Filed under: Athene cunicularia (burrowing owl)
Lineage: Eukaryota; Metazoa; Chordata; Aves; Strigiformes; Strigidae
Description: lncRNA (ENSACUG00000005003.1)
Source: RNAcentral
AUUUUUACUUGCAGGAAGAAGUUUCCCUGGAUGUUUGUGGCUCUACAAUACCGGCUUCACGCUUUUCCUCUUCUGCAAAUCCCAAUCUUUUCAUGAGGAUCUGCACUUUAAGGGACAGUUAAUGUUAUCUGCCAUGACCUUGUAGAGAACACACUGGGCCAUUAGCAAGGCCAGUGGCACCAGGGCAGCUUGCCAGAUCGGUGCUCCCACCCUCAUUUAUCCAAUGUUUGUUUUAAAAAUUUAUUUAUCCCAGUUUGGUCUCCCCUGUCCCCUGACACAGCGCUGAGAUCACAGGCCAGACACCAUCGCCUGGUUAUCUCUGCUUUCUCCACAGGUGACUGCACUAGAGAGGAAACCUUGGCCACUUGACUGAUCACAGGCCUGAUCGUUGUACUUUGUACCAUAGCUGUGUUCACUGUUUGAGCUGCCUCACACGCUCCAUUUCUAGUUCUCUCCUGCAAAUAUUUCACUUUCCCUUAUGAAAUGGCAAGCGGUGGUUCUGGUUUGAAGGGAUGUCACUACUGGCAGGCCGGUGGGCUGCCACGCUGCCUGCCUGGCAGCAUCCUGGAUGGAUGAGAACAGUUGUGCUCCCUCCGUUGCAGAGCUCACAGCUCCAAUCACACCGAGCUGCUGUUUCAGAAGCAUUUCUGGGCUUGAUCGAUAAAUGACAGAUUGCCAGAGAUAAUGUCUAUGCGCUCCCAGUGAUAAUGGAGCGUGGUGCUGUGAGAUAAUGAAUGCUUUCAGGGCUGAUAAUACACGCUGUUUGGGUGCUUGCAGCACUGUGGCUCUGCAGGAGGGACCUGUGUAGUGUCUGUCGCAGUCAGGAAGGUGCCGUUGGCCAUUUUAAGCACUUUUUCCACCAUGAGGUUACAUCAGCUGGGCUGCUAGCUGGGAGGCAAGCAGAGGUUUGCUGUGGCAGAUGACUGCAGUGGGGUGACUCCAGGUCUCUUUGGGACCUGGUUUCCCAGUUGGAAAAUGAACCUGGACUUGCUGGCUCCACUCAGGAACAUUAUAGCCCCAAGGGGAUCCAAUUCCUGGUCUGACUCACAAGCAUACUGCCCCUGGCUGCCUUCGUCUCAUGCUGUGGCCCUUCUCUCUGUCAUCCAGGCAGGC